RNAcentral lists this long non-coding RNA (689 nucleotides) under Salmo salar (Atlantic salmon). RNAcentral's name for it is "lncRNA (ENSSSAG00000114605.1, ENSSSAG00000119697.1)". The record is from RNAcentral. Lineage: Eukaryota; Metazoa; Chordata; Actinopteri; Salmoniformes; Salmonidae.
CUACAGCGGUGUGGGGAGUGGAGGAAGGAGGACCAGCCUGGUCGGAGAGAUGAAGUCCUGCAACUAGUGAGGUACGGUCACCCGACAACCUACCCAUUUGAUCCCAUCCUCCAUUCUCCUGACCAUCUCUGGAUACCUUUUACCAUUCCUCACUUCCCUAUCAACUCAUCCCUGACCACUGGUUGCAUCCCCUCUGACUUCAAAAUGGCCCGAAUCGCUCCCAUCCUCAAGAAACCAACACCCGACUCAUCUGACGUCAAAAACUACAGACCAGUAUCCCUUAUUUAUUUUCUUUGCAAAACACUUGUGUGCUGUCUCUGACAAACUAUCUCACUAUCUCUCUCAGAAUAAUCUUCUUGACCCUAACCAGUCAGGUUUUUGUCCUAGGCUGAAAGGCUUGCCAAGAACCAUUACUGUUUACAGUUGGAAUGAUCAGUACACAGGUAUCAUUUUUCACCUCAUAUGUUACAACUUUAUUCUCCUCAAACAAGGUCUCUUUGUGUUGGACAAAAAAACUUGACCAUGUGUUCUGUAGACUGAAAAUGUACCCUGGAAAAUGUAUUAACAGGAAAAGUAUUUUUGUCUUAGUUUAACCAAGAUUUCAACCACAAAUUGGAUGGUUGAUCUGACAUCUUUUCAGACUUCCCAGAAUGGGCUCAUUGUGCUUUCCUCAGUGGUGUCUUCAGUAG